ACUACCCGCUGAACUUAAGCAUAUCAAUAAGCGGAGGAAAAGAAACCAACAGGGAUUGCCUCAGUAACGGCGAGUGAAGCGGCAAAAGCUCAAAUUUGAAAUCCCCCGGGAAUUGUAAUUUGAAGAGAUUUGGGUCCGGCCGGCAGGGGUUAAGUCCACUGGAAAGUGGCGCCACAGAGGGUGACAGCCCCGUGAACCCCUUUAAAGCCCUCAUCCCAGAUCUCCAAGAGUCGAGUUGUUUGGGAAUGCAGCUCUAAGUGGGUGGUAAAUUCCAUCUAAAGCUAAAUACCGGCGAGAGACCGAUAGCGAACAAGUACAGUGAUGGAAAGAUGAAAAGCACUUUGAAAAGAGAGUGAAAAAGUACGUGAAAUUGUUGAAAGGGAAGGGCUUGCAAGCAGACACUUAACUGGGCCAGCAUCGGGGCGGCGGGAAACAAAACCACCGGGGAAUGUACCUUUCGAGGAUUAUAACCCCGGUCUCAAUUUCCUUGUUGCCCCGAGACCUGCAAUCUAAGGAU
RNAcentral lists this ribosomal RNA (517 nucleotides) under uncultured Metschnikowiaceae. RNAcentral's name for it is "eukaryotic LSU rRNA". It matches the Rfam family "Eukaryotic large subunit ribosomal RNA", at positions 20 to 517 of the family's 3401-position model. The record is from RNAcentral. Lineage: Eukaryota; Fungi; Ascomycota; Saccharomycetes.